Molecule: long non-coding RNA, 847 nt
Filed under: Medicago truncatula (barrel medic)
Lineage: Eukaryota; Viridiplantae; Streptophyta; Magnoliopsida; Fabales; Fabaceae
Description: long non-coding RNA (MTRU_LNC000957)
Source: RNAcentral
AAUGUUCUUGCUUGCCCUUAUUGUCCUUACCCAAGCCCUAAACCACCUUCACACCACCCUCCUAUUGUUAAGCCACCAGUUCACAAACCACCAAAGCAUUCUCCUACUCCUAAACCACCAGUUCAUAAACCACCAAGAUAUCCUCCUAAACCAUCACCUUGUCCACCCCCAUCAUCAACACCAAAACCACCUCAUCAUCCCAAACCCCCAGCAGUACACCCACCACAUGUUCCAAAACCACAUCCACCUUAUGUUCCAAAACCACCAAUUGUUAAACCUCCAAUAGUACAUCCACCUUACGUACCAAAACCCCCAGUUGUGAAACCACCACCAUAUGUCCCUAAACCACCUGUUGUGAGACCACCCUAUGUUCCUAAACCACCAGUUGUACCUGUAACACCACCUUAUGUUCCUAAGCCACCAAUUGUUUUCCCACCACAUGUUCCUCUACCUCCAGUUGUACCAUCACCACCACCUUAUGUACCAACACCUCCAAUUGUGAAACCACCAAUUGUUUUUCCACCACAUGUUCCUCUACCUCCAGUUGUGCCUGUAACACCACCUUAUGUGCAACCACCACCUAUUGUAACUCCACCAACACCAACACCUCCAAUUGUGACACCACCAACACCACCUAGUGAAACACCUUGUCCUCCACCACCACUUGUACCUUAUCCACCACCACCAGCACAACAAACAUGUUCCAUUGAUGCUUUGAAGUUGGGUGCAUGUGUUGAUGUGCUUGGUGGACUCAUACAUAUUGGUAUAGGUGGAAGUGCUAAACAAACAUGUUGUCCAUUGCUUCAAGGACUUGUUGAUUUGGAUGCUGCUAUAUGUCUUUGCACCA